UGCCAGCAGCCGCGGUAAUACGGAGGUCCCAAGCGUUGUUCGGAAUUACUGGGCGUAAAGCGCACGUAGGCGGAUUAGUAAGUUAGAGGUGAAAUCCCAGGGCUCAACCCUGGAACUGCCUUUAAAACUACUAGUCUAGAGUUCAAGAGAGGUGAGUGGAAUUCCGAGUGUAGAGGUGAAAUUCGUAGAUAUUCGGAGGAACACCAGUGGCGAAGGCGGCUCACUGGCUCGAUACUGACGCUGAGGUGCGAAAGUGUGGGGAGCAAACAGGAUUAGAUA
Molecule: ribosomal RNA, 279 nt
Filed under: uncultured bacterium
Lineage: Bacteria
Description: partial 16S ribosomal RNA
Rfam family: Bacterial small subunit ribosomal RNA
Source: RNAcentral